This 966-nucleotide small RNA is filed under the name Pongo abelii (Sumatran orangutan). RNAcentral describes it as "processed transcript". The record is from RNAcentral. Lineage: Eukaryota; Metazoa; Chordata; Mammalia; Primates; Hominidae.
GCCACUUAUUCCAUCAAAAUUGAGGGGAAACCAUACACUUUCCUGCUUGAAAAACAGUCAUUUUUACACCCACAUUUCCUGGUGUAUUUAUACAAUGAAUCAGGAACAUUGUAUGCAGAUUCUUCAUUUUCAAAGGGUCAUUGCUUUUACCAAGGAUAUGCUGCAGACAUUCCAAAAUCAGUUGUGGCACUACGCACCUGUUCUGGACUCAGGGGAUUACUGCAGUUAGAUAAUAUCAGUUAUGGUAUUGAACCACUGGAAUCUUCACCUACAUAUGAGCAUGUAGUUUAUCGAAUUAAAAAUGAUGCUAUUGGUCAUUCCUCCUUUCAAGAAAAUUAUCCUGUGGCUCAAUAUACAGAUCAGUCCUACAGGAUUCUUGUCAAAUCAGACACAAAUUCAGGUGCCAUGCUAUCGAAAAGAACUCUGAAAAUACAAAUCAUUAUGGAUAAAGCAAUGAGACAGGAUUUCACCAUGUUGGCCAGGCUAGUCUCAAACUUCUGACCUCAGGUUAUCUACCUGCCUCAGCCUCUCAAAGUGCUGGGAUUAGAAACCAUACACAACCCCAUUUUGAAAAGGAGAAAUAGACAAGAAGAAAUGGGUAACAGGCCUCAAGCAAGUCUGAAACCCAAGAGAGCCAAUGAUGGACAUUCAGACUCCUGAAUAAUUUCCUUUGACAACAUGUCCUGCAUCUUCUAUAAACAGGCAUGCACUCAUAAAAAAUGCUGUAAUCCUGCAGAUUGUACUCUAGUUGGAGCUGCAGAAUGUGGCACUGGACCAUGCUGUAACAAUAAAACUUGUACGGCUUGUCGCUCCCAAGAAUGCAGAAAUUUUAGUGAACUAAAUAUAACAAAAUGUACUACAAAUUGUGGACAGAAUGGGGUGAUCCUGGUUAUGCUCCUCCAGAUUGUGAGCCAGCAAUGUCAUCACCAGGAGGAAGUAUCGAUGAUGGGUUUUGGCUUACAAUAG